CGACAAUACUUGAUGUAUAAGGAUGCGAGCUCUCUCUAAAAGAGUGACAGUCGGAGGAGUUGCAGUCUCUGUCACUACGUUUGCUGUUGUAAUACUUUCUCUUGUACUAUGAUUGCGUUUGGUUGGCAUUUUGAAUGUGAAAUAUGGUCAAAAGAAGCACGCAAAUAAAAUCUCUCAAAACAAACCAAUUUUUCUCUGCCCCUGGGUGUCGGUAGCAGAUCAUCUUCAGAAAGCAGGAUUUGGAAGCUGGUUUUUGCUUUC
Molecule: long non-coding RNA, 261 nt
Organism: Octopus sinensis (East Asian common octopus)
Lineage: Eukaryota; Metazoa; Mollusca; Cephalopoda; Octopoda; Octopodidae
Exons: 3
Source: RefSeq, a predicted model, not a curated record